CCUACGGGGGGCAGCAGUGAGGAAUAUUGGUCAAUGGACGAGAGUCUGAACCAGCCAAGCAGCGUGAAGGAUGACUGCCCUAUGGGUUGUAAACUUCUUUUAUAUGGGAAUAAAAUGUUCCACGUGUGGGAUUUUGUAUGUACCAUAUGAAUAAGGAUCGGCUAACUCCGUGCCAGCAGCCGCGGUAAUACGGAGGAUCCGAGCGUUAUCCGGAUUUAUUGGGUUUAAAGGGUGCGUAGGUGGAUUGUUAAGUCAGUUGUGAAAGUUUGCGGCUCAACCGUAAAAUUGCAGUUGAAACUGGCAGUCUUGAGAACAGUAGAGGUAGGCGGAAUGCGUGGUGUAGCGGUGAAAUGCUUAGAGAUCACGAAGAACUCCGAUUGCGAAGGCAGCUCACUGGACUGCAACUGACACUGAGGCUCGAAAGCGUGGGUAGCAAACAGGAUUAGAUACCCGAGUAGUC
Molecule: ribosomal RNA, 460 nt
Filed under: uncultured bacterium
Lineage: Bacteria
Description: partial 16S ribosomal RNA
Rfam family: Bacterial small subunit ribosomal RNA
Source: RNAcentral